This 112-nucleotide ribosomal RNA is filed under the name uncultured Alphaproteobacteria bacterium. Its description in RNAcentral is "partial 16S ribosomal RNA". Lineage: Bacteria; Pseudomonadati; Pseudomonadota; Alphaproteobacteria. The record is from RNAcentral.
UACGGGAGGCAGCAGUGGGGGAUUUUGGGCAACGGCAGCAAGCCUGAUUCGGCCAUGGCGCAGCCGGAGAAGGCCUCGGGCUUAAGCACGAUAAGCGUGGAAGAGGGUCCUU